GGUUUAAAUCCCUCCUGUACUA
RNAcentral lists this transfer RNA (22 nucleotides) under Crotaphytus collaris. RNAcentral describes it as "partial tRNA-Met". Lineage: Eukaryota; Metazoa; Chordata; Lepidosauria; Squamata; Crotaphytidae. The record is from RNAcentral.